GACGAACGCUGGCGGCGUGCUUAACACAUGCAAGUCGAGCGGUAAGGCCCUUUCGGGGGUACACGAGCGGCGAACGGGUGAGUAACACGUGGGUGACCUGCCCUCAGCUCUGGGAUAAGCCUGGGAAACUGGGUCUAAUACUGGAUAUGACUCCACGGUGCAUGUCGUGGGGUGGAAAGCCUUGUGCGGCUGAGGAUGGGCCCCGCGGCCUAUCAGCUUGUUGGUGGGGNGAUGGCCUACCAAGGCGACGACGGGUAGCCGGCCUGAGAGGGCGACCGGCCACACUGGGACUGAGACACGGCCCAGACUCCUACGGGAGGCAG
RNAcentral lists this ribosomal RNA (323 nucleotides) under uncultured bacterium. RNAcentral describes it as "bacterial SSU rRNA". It matches the Rfam family "Bacterial small subunit ribosomal RNA", at positions 28 to 351 of the family's 1533-position model. The record is from RNAcentral.